This 300-nucleotide ribosomal RNA is filed under the name uncultured Enterorhabdus sp. RNAcentral describes it as "bacterial SSU rRNA". The stretch from base 51 to 300 matches the Rfam family "Bacterial small subunit ribosomal RNA", at positions 547 to 795 of the family's 1533-position model. Lineage: Bacteria; Bacillati; Actinomycetota; Coriobacteriia; Eggerthellales; Eggerthellaceae. The record is from RNAcentral.
AGAGCAGCGUGGCGGGGGCCGGGGUAACAGGGAGGGGGGAAGCGUUGGCCGGAUGUAGUGGGCGUAAAGCGCGCGUAGGGGGUUCGGUAAGUCGGGUGUGAAACCUCCAGGCUGAACCUGGGGAAGCCACCCGAUACUGCUGGGACUAGAGUCCGGUAGGGGAGCGUGGAAUUCCUGGUGUAGCGGUGAAAUGCGCAGAGAUCAGGAGGAACACCAGCGGCGAAGGCGGCGCUCUGGGCCGGAACUGACGCUGAGGAGCGAAAGCGUGGGUAGCAAACAGGAUUAGAUACCCCAGUAGUC